GCUGGGCAUGGUUGUGCAUGCCUGUAAUCUCAGCAGCUCCAGAGGCUGAAGCAGGAGGAUCAUGAGUUCAAAGCCAGCCUCAGCAAUUUAGUUUGAGGCCCUGAGUAACUCAGUGAGACCCUGCUUCUA
Molecule: small RNA, 129 nt
Filed under: Marmota monax (woodchuck)
Lineage: Eukaryota; Metazoa; Chordata; Mammalia; Rodentia; Sciuridae
Source: RNAcentral